UAAGAGGGCAGGCUGUGAAUACGGCUC
This 27-nucleotide non-coding RNA is filed under the name Rattus norvegicus (Norway rat). The record is from RNAcentral. Lineage: Eukaryota; Metazoa; Chordata; Mammalia; Rodentia; Muridae.